UGUCCGAUGGUGUAAUUGGCAACACAGCAGAUUUUGGUUCUGUCGUUCAAGGUUCGAGUCCUUGUCGGACAG
This 72-nucleotide transfer RNA is filed under the name Bacteroidia bacterium. RNAcentral's name for it is "tRNA-Gln". It matches the Rfam family "tRNA". Rfam says of the family: Transfer RNA (tRNA) molecules are approximately 80 nucleotides in length. Their secondary structure includes four short double-helical elements and three loops (D, anti-codon, and T loops). Lineage: Bacteria; Pseudomonadati; Bacteroidota; Bacteroidia. The record is from RNAcentral.